RNAcentral lists this transfer RNA (70 nucleotides) under compost metagenome. RNAcentral's name for it is "tRNA-Met". The record is from RNAcentral.
UGCAGCGACUCCUGGGGAGACGCAUGGCUCAUAACCAUGACGGUGACGGUUCGAUCCCGUCCGCUGCUAC